This 758-nucleotide ribosomal RNA is filed under the name uncultured Bacillus sp. Its description in RNAcentral is "bacterial SSU rRNA". It matches the Rfam family "Bacterial small subunit ribosomal RNA", at positions 41 to 779 of the family's 1533-position model. The record is from RNAcentral. Lineage: Bacteria; Bacillati; Bacillota; Bacilli; Caryophanales; Bacillaceae.
GGCGUGCCUAAUACAUGCAAGUCGAGCGAAUGGAUUAAGAGCUUGCUCUUAUGAAGUUAGCGGCGGACGGGUGAGUAACACGUGGGUAACCUGCCCAUAAGACUGGGAUAACUCCGGGAAACCGGGGCUAAUACCGGGUAAUAUUUUGAACCGCAUGGUUCGAAAUUGAAAGGCGGCUUCGACUGUCACUUAUGGAUGGACCCGCGACGCAUUAGCUAGUUGGUGAGGUAACGGCUCACCAAGGCAACGAUGCGUAGCCGACCUGAGAGGGUGAUCGGCCACACUGGGACUGAGACACGGCCCAGACUCCUACGGGAGGCAGCGGUGGGGAAUCUUCCGCAAUGGACGAAAGUCUGACGGAGCAACGCCGCGUGAGUGAUGAAGGCUUUCGGGUCGUAAAACUCUGUUGUUAGGGAAGAACAAGUGCUAGUUGAAUAAGCUGGCACCCUGACGGUACCUAACCAGAAAGCCACGGCUAACUACGUGCCAGCAGCCGCGGUAAUACGUAGGUGGCAAGCGUUAUCCGGAAUUAUUGGGCGUAAAGCGCGCGCAGGUGGUUUCUUAAGUCUGAUGUGAAAGCCCACGGCUCAACCGUGGAGGGUCAUUGGAAACUGGGAGACUUGAGUGCAGAAGAGGAAAGUGGAAUUCCAUGUGUAGCGGUGAAAUGCGUAGAGAUAUGGAGGAACACCAGUGGCGAAGGCGACUUUCUGGUCUGUAACUGACACUGAGGCGCGAAAGCGUGGGGAGCAAACAGGAUU